CAAAGGUUUUUCCUUCUGGUCGACGAGGGCAAAAGCGAACACUUCGCCUCUCCCCUCUUCUCCUCCUCCUCCCUCACCAUCGCCGAGCUCCAACGAAGCUCUCAUCCAUGGCGGAUCCCGACGAGGAUCCUCUCCUUCUCCUCGAGCGCUCCGCUCGAGCCACCAGAGGCAAGAGAAUGACUAAGUUGCUGGAUGAAGAGAUUGAGCAGGAUGAAUGGUUUUGGAAUCAAGAUGCUUUUAAUGAGAGGUCACAGAAGUGAAAGACAUCGUGGAAAAUUGCAAUGGUGGUGAGGCAGAAGUGACUCAUGCUGGAACUGCAAAUUUGGUGCUUUC
Ananas comosus (pineapple) is the source of this 333-nucleotide long non-coding RNA. RefSeq lists it as uncharacterized. NCBI's taxonomy places the organism in Eukaryota, Viridiplantae, Streptophyta, Magnoliopsida, Poales, Bromeliaceae. The record is from RefSeq and is a predicted model, not a curated record. The transcript has 3 exons.